GAUAUUGGGCGUAAGGGCUCGCAGGCGGUUUCUUAAGUCUGAUGUGAAAGCCCCCGGCUCAACCGGGGAGGGUCAUUGGAAACUGGGGAACUUGAGUGCAGAAGAGGAGAGUGGAAUUCCACGUGUAGCGGUGAAAUGCGUAGAGAUGUGGAGGAACACCAGUGGCGAAGGCGACUCUCUGGUCUGUAACUGACGCUGAGGAGCGAAAGCGUGGGGAGCGAACAGGAUUAGAUACCCUGGUAGUCCACGCCGUAAACGAUGAGUGCUAAGUGUUAGGGGGUUUCCGCCCCUUAGUGCUGCAGCUAACGCAUUAAGCACUCCGCCUGGGGAGUACGGUCGCAAGACUGAAACUCAAAGGAAUUGACGGGGGCCCGCACAAGCGGUGGAGCAUGUGGUUUAAUUCGAAGCAACGCGAAGAACCUUACCAGGUCUUGACAUCCUCUGACAACGCUAGAGAUAGGGCUUUCCCUUCCGGGACACAGAGACACGUGGGGCGUGGGUGUCGUCACCUCUCGUCGCGAGAUGUUGGGUUAAGUCCCGCAACGAGCGCACCCCUUGAUCUUAGUUGCGAGCAUUCAGUUGGGCACUCUCUGGUGACUGCGGGUGACACACCGGAGGAGAGUGGGGAUGACAUCUAAUCUUCUUGCGCCUUAUGACCUGUGCUACACACGUGC
Molecule: ribosomal RNA, 674 nt
Filed under: Bacillus pumilus
Lineage: Bacteria; Bacillati; Bacillota; Bacilli; Caryophanales; Bacillaceae
Description: bacterial SSU rRNA
Rfam family: Bacterial small subunit ribosomal RNA
Source: RNAcentral